UAGCACCGUAUCUUCGGUAUAAGGUGUGGUUAGCUUUGUAUUAGGAUUUACUCCGAAAGCAAGGAAACUUACAACAAAGAGUCCCUCCCGACUGUUUACCAAAAACACAGCACUCUGCUAACUCGUAAGAGGAUGUAUAGGGUGUGACGCCUGCCCGGUGCUCGAAGGUUAAUUGAUGGGGUUAGCAUUAGCGAAGCUCUUGAUCGAAGCCCGAGUAAACGGCGGCCGUAACUAUAACGGUCCUAAGGUAGCGAAAUUCCUUGUCGGUUAAAUACCGACCUGCAUGAAUGGCGUAACGAGAUGGGAGCUGUCUCAAAGAGGGAUCCAGUGAAAUUGUAGUGGAGGUGAAAAUUCCUCCUACCCGCGGCAAGACGGAAAGACCCCGUGGACCUUUACUACAGCUUGACACUGCUACUUGGAUAAGAAUGUGCAGGAUAGGUGGGAGGCUUUGAGUAUAUGACGCCAGUUGUAUAUGAGCCAUUGUUGAGAUACCACUCUUUCUUAUUUGGGUAGCUAACCAGCUUGAGUUAUCCUCAAGUGGGACAAUGUCUGGUGGGUAGUUUGACUGGGGCGGUCGCCUCCCAAAUAAUAACGGAGGCUUACAAAGGUUGGCUCAGAACGGUUGGAAAUCGUUCGUAGAGUAUAAAGGUAUAAGCCAGCUUAACUGCAAGACAUACAAGUCAAGCAGAGACGAAAGUCGGUCUUAGUGAUCCGGUGGUUCUGUGUGGAAGGGCCAUCGCUCAAAGGAUAAAAGGUACCCCGGGGAUAACAGGCUGAUCUCCCCCAAGAGCUCACAUCGACGGGGAGGUUUGGCACCUCGAUGUCGGCUCAUCGCAUCCUGGGGCUGGAGCAGGUCCCAAGGGUAUGGCUGUUCGCCAUUUAAAGCGGUACGCGAGCUGGGUUCAGAACGUCGUGAGACAGUUCGGUCCCUAUCUGCCGUGGGCGUAAGAAGAUUGAAGAGAUUUGACCCUAGUACGAGAGGACCGGGUUGAACAAACCACUGGUGUAGCUGUUGUUCUGCCAAGAGCAUCGCAGCGUAGCUAAGUUUGGAAAGGAUAAACGCUGAAAGCAUCUAAGCGUGAAGCCAACUCUAAGAUGAAUCUUCUCUAAGCUCUCUAGAAGACUACUAGUUUGAUAGGCUGGGUGUGUAAUGGAUGAAAGUCCUUUAGCUGACCAGUACUAAUAGAGCGUUUGGCUUAUCUUUAAUAAAGCAU
RNAcentral lists this ribosomal RNA (1214 nucleotides) under Campylobacter jejuni. RNAcentral's name for it is "partial 23S ribosomal RNA". It matches the Rfam family "Bacterial large subunit ribosomal RNA", at positions 1723 to 2925 of the family's 2925-position model. Lineage: Bacteria; Pseudomonadati; Campylobacterota; Epsilonproteobacteria; Campylobacterales; Campylobacteraceae. The record is from RNAcentral.